This 893-nucleotide ribosomal RNA is filed under the name Lactiplantibacillus plantarum. RNAcentral's name for it is "bacterial SSU rRNA". It matches the Rfam family "Bacterial small subunit ribosomal RNA", at positions 547 to 1440 of the family's 1533-position model. The record is from RNAcentral. Lineage: Bacteria; Bacillati; Bacillota; Bacilli; Lactobacillales; Lactobacillaceae.
GGAUUUAUUGGGCGUAAAGCGAGCGCAGGCGGUUUUUUAAGUCUGAUGUGAAAGCCUUCGGCUCAACCGAAGAAGUGCAUCGGAAACUGGGAAACUUGAGUGCAGAAGAGGACAGUGGAACUCCAUGUGUAGCGGUGAAAUGCGUAGAUAUAUGGAAGAACACCAGUGGCGAAGGCGGCUGUCUGGUCUGUAACUGACGCUGAGGCUCGAAAGUAUGGGUAGCAAACAGGAUUAGAUACCCUGGUAGUCCAUACCGUAAACGAUGAAUGCUAAGUGUUGGAGGGUUUCCGCCCUUCAGUGCUGCAGCUAACGCAUUAAGCAUUCCGCCUGGGGAGUACGGCCGCAAGGCUGAAACUCAAAGGAAUUGACGGGGGCCCGCACAAGCGGUGGAGCAUGUGGUUUAAUUCGAAGCUACGCGAAGAACCUUACCAGGUCUUGACAUACUAUGCAAAUCUAAGAGAUUAGACGUUCCCUUCGGGGACAUGGAUACAGGUGGUGCAUGGUUGUCGUCAGCUCGUGUCGUGAGAUGUUGGGUUAAGUCCCGCAACGAGCGCAACCCUUAUUAUCAGUUGCCAGCAUUAAGUUGGGCACUCUGGUGAGACUGCCGGUGACAAACCGGAGGAAGGUGGGGAUGACGUCAAAUCAUCAUGCCCCUUAUGACCUGGGCUACACACGUGCUACAAUGGAUGGUACAACGAGUUGCGAACUCGCGAGAGUAAGCUAAUCUCUUAAAGCCAUUCUCAGUUCGGAUUGUAGGCUGCAACUCGCCUACAUGAAGUCGGAAUCGCUAGUAAUCGCGGAUCAGCAUGCCGCGGUGAAUACGUUCCCGGGCCUUGUACACACCGCCCGUCACACCAUGAGAGUUUGUAACACCCAAAGUCGGUGGGGUAACC